GGGGAGAUGGUUCAGCGGUUUAGAGCACUGGAUACUCUUUUCCAGAAGACCUGGGUUCAAUUCCCAGCAUCCACA
This 75-nucleotide transfer RNA is filed under the name Cricetulus griseus (Chinese hamster). It matches the Rfam family "tRNA". From Rfam's summary of the family: Transfer RNA (tRNA) molecules are approximately 80 nucleotides in length. Their secondary structure includes four short double-helical elements and three loops (D, anti-codon, and T loops). Further hydrogen bonds mediate the characteristic L-shaped molecular structure. tRNAs have two regions of fundamental functional importance: the anti-codon, which is responsible for specific mRNA codon recognition, and the 3' end, to which the tRNAs corresponding amino acid is attached (by aminoacyl-tRNA synthetases). tRNAs cope with the degeneracy of the genetic code in two manners: having more than one tRNA (with a specific anti-codon) for a particular amino acid; and 'wobble' base-pairing, i.e. permitting non-standard base-pairing at the 3rd anti-codon position. Lineage: Eukaryota; Metazoa; Chordata; Mammalia; Rodentia; Cricetidae. The record is from Rfam by way of RNAcentral.